GGUUUCUUCCACAAGCUGAUGGACCUUUUUAGAAUCUGUGAAGAUCUUGAAAAUAUUGAUGGUCUUCACAUGAUAUUCAAAAUAGUCAGAGGAAUCAUUUUGCUCAAUAGUCCUCAAAUCUUUGAUAAAAUAUUUGGAGAUGAGUUGAUCAUGGACGUUAUUGGUUCACUUGAGUAUGACCCUGAGGUUCCGCAUGCCCAACAUCAUCGUAAUUUUCUGAAAGAGCAUGUUGUUUUCAAGGAGGCCAUACCAAUCAAAGAUCCUAUUGUCCU
Molecule: unclassified non-coding RNA, 272 nt
Filed under: Hevea brasiliensis (rubber tree)
Lineage: Eukaryota; Viridiplantae; Streptophyta; Magnoliopsida; Malpighiales; Euphorbiaceae
Source: RNAcentral